UGAAUGAUAUAAAAAAACACAAUAUUAACAUGUUGAGAGAAAUAUCAAAAACAAUUUUUAUAACAUUGGCGUGUAAGCCAAAGGAGAUCACCAUUCCCUUAAUUUUUUUAUUAAGCACAACAAAAGCAACAGAAAAAGUCCCAAAAACAACACCAAAAUAAAACGAAACAAGAUAGGAAACCUAAAAAAGCCUAAAAGAAAUUCCAGUGCAAACAGCUCCCAAACACGCAACCACCAGGAUAGUACCGAACAAGAACAAGGAGCCGUUCAGAAAAUCUUUUGGAAAGCACUACCCAUAGCCAAAACCAAACAAAAUCAUCUAUGAUAGUGGCUCCAAACCAAUUGAAGGAGGCACCAUCAAGCUGGAAAAACAAAGAUCCCGACACACAUAGAGAUCCAGAAUCCUGUCCGAGAGUCAAUGAAAACAUCUGCAAACACCAAGAAACCAUCGAGAUUCGAGACUCCCACGCUUCCCCCAAUAAAACCAGAUCCUGACCGCCGCGAAGCUAACCAGCAUGAGGUCUUAAGGAGGAGGUCGACUCUCCCAAAUACAUACCGCAUCGAUCCGUCUCCACGGCCAGAAGAGCGAACUCUGGGAUCCCCCUUCUUUGAAUAACACGGCCCUCACCCUGGAGGCCCUUAGUAGCCAACAGGUGGGCCACAGAGUUUCCCUCCUGGGGAACAUGGAGGAACUGACACAAAUGGAACUACCCGAUCAAGCCCUUGAUGUAACUGAUGUAAUAACUGAUUCGUCAUAAUGAUGAGAAUAAAGUUUGCUAAUCACAGUGAGAGAGUCUCCUUCAAAGAUCACCUCUUGUAAGCCCAAUUCGAUACCCAAUCAUAUAGCAUGGUAGCAGGCCAGAGCUUCCGCAGCAAAAGCAGAAGGUCAUCAACAUAGGCGCAUGGAAAGCAGCAUCAAAGUUCACUUUUAAGCAAGAACCUUCAGGAGGCAGCCAACGCUUAGGUCCAAUCAGACGUCUAGGCAGCUUCGCAUGCACCGCGUCAAACUCCAACAGAGUACACACCACUGAUCUGGAAAUAGAAAUGCUAUGCACAGUAAAAUCAUAUAGCAACCAAUCCUGAAAGAAAACAUCAGUCAAUUCACUAGGCCAUGUAACAUGCAGCUCUGCCCAAACACACGACGUCGAAAUGCAGUCCCGAAAAAUAUGUUCCAACGUUUUAGCUGAGGCCAUGCACCGAGGGCACAAUGGUGAUGCGCGAAUCCGCUUGUUGUAAGAUUGUAAUAGCUAGGGAUAAAAUUAUGGAAAAUACGUGACGCUGUUAUUUUUAUUUUUGCCGAAAGUUGCAUCUUCCACAGUUUGUUAUAAAUAUGUUAGUAAGGGUCUGUAGUUUCAGUAGCGUCUGAUGUUGUAAGGAGCCGUAGCCAUUGCACACUGAAUAGUCCCACGACAUCUCAGUGCCCUACACCACAAACUCUGCAUAAGCAUCCCCAGAUAGGGGUAUACACAACACCUAGUCUGCUAAAGUCCUACCCAAUAACAGGUAAGCCUUUGCGUAUUCCACUGUCGCGUAGUUUGAUCGAUAAAGUCUGAAAAAAAGAUGGACUAGGAAAUAACUCCCAUGUGUUUUAAAUGGCGACCAGGUAAACUCGGGAUCCACACAUCGUCUCAGACCUAAAUACUUGUGCCUACACCCAUACGCCAAUUGAGACCCAAUUGCAACAACCCCUUAACGACCCAAAUGCUUUUCAAAUGUAAAAAGGGUAAGUUCCGAGAGAUGCAUUUAUAAAAUCAUAAUUGGGAUAGUAUUUUAGCUUUUAGAGCUUGCGCCAAUAGUGUGUGAGGGUGUUUAAUCAAUUGCCAACCCUGCUUGGCCAAAAGGGGUACAUUAAUUUUUGCCAAAACACAAAAACCCAAACCACUAGUAGACUUUUGGUCGCAUAACUUUGACCAAGUACACCAAGAGAUCCCUCUUCGCCCUCAGAACAUUUCCACCAAAAUCAAUUAAUAAUGCUUUCCAAAUCAGAGCAAAAAGAAGUCGGUAACAAAAAAUAAGACAUGACAAAUGUAGGGAUAGAUUGUAAGACACUUUUAAUGAAGACUUUUUUUUCCAUCUUGUGCAAUGGCUGAAUGCACCAACUAUGCAUUUGGGAUCGCAAACGAUCCUUUAAAACCUAAAAAACCCUCCUCUUAUCAUGCCCCACCAUGUUAAGGA
Molecule: long non-coding RNA, 2175 nt
Organism: Gossypium raimondii (Peruvian cotton)
Lineage: Eukaryota; Viridiplantae; Streptophyta; Magnoliopsida; Malvales; Malvaceae
Exons: 3
Source: RefSeq, a predicted model, not a curated record